CUUACUCCUAGGCUGUAAACCUGCAUGACGAAUUCCAGCCCAGAGCAACAUUUUAUGAUCCAGUGUCAAGUUCCUGAAAAAUGAAAAAUGAGGGGAAAGAGGGUUUAACUGUAACAUGGAUACAUUUUGGACUGGAUGUUAACCAAUUGAAAAAGGUAAUGCGCCAGAGUCUAUCCAUGGUCUGAGGAUAUAAAGACAAAUAACACGUGGUUACUGCUUUCAUUAUCCACUGGAAAGGAAAACCAGCUUUAUGAGCCAGGAGCACUCAGAUCAAUUUGGAGCCACUCACGUCAGCAAUCCGGAAGUGGAUGGUAACUCUCUUGGGCUACUCCCCUGACAUCUGGAAUCCAUGAAGAGUUCAAGACAUUGCUGGAAGCAGAGAUGGAUAAGAUGUUACCCACACUGGUUCUGGCCCCUGUGAUCCAUUUACCCUGAGGAGAAAUUAUCCAGCAGGCUGAGAUAUCACACUGACCUCUUCGACUCCAUGUCAGUUGUGGAUCCUAAGAGUCACCAGCUGUUAAGGAUGUUUUGCCUGAAUGCCACCAAGACACUGAGUACACCUCUGCCCCUCUGCACCCACCUUGAGGUCAGAUUUGAUACUUGACUGCAUUUUAAAAAAAAUUUUUAAAGACAAAUUCACAUUUCCCAAGCAUUAAGGAUUAGUUUAGAUUUUCUGAAGAAUGUUCCAAGAAGACAGAGUCCUGCUGGCAGGUGGCAAUAUAUCCUCUUUGCAACCAUCCAGGAGAAGAGAUUUUACAUUCCGUCAGCAAACUCUGAUAGUGUUGAACAAACAUAUCUACAAAAAUGUCAGUUUACUUGGUCUGGGAGGAGAUAAGCCAUUGCCUCAGAUUCCUUCUUUGCAUUCCCUUUCUCUUUGUUAUCUUGCUCCUGAAUUAACUGCUAUAUUUCUAUGCUUAGGAAAUAUAAUAAACUGUAGUAGAAAGCACAAAGGGCCAGUGUGGGAUUGUAAAAUGGCAAGGAACAGAAUCCUACUUUAUGCUACUUCAGGACGCUCAACUGUCGCACAGCAGAAUCACAAGGGGAGCUCUACAAAAAUUGCUGGCAAUUUUCAUUAGUGGGUCUGGGCAGGAGAUUCGUGCAUCUGGAGUUGUAAAUCCUGCACGUAAACCUUUCCCUCAGCAGCCUCUGGUCUCUCCUCCUCUCUGCAUAUGAUUUGUUCCUGCCUAACAAAGCUAAUUCUUUCGCUGAUUCCUACACCAUGAUGCCAGAGGUCCUGUGGCUUUGGUUUGCCCAAGCACCAGUUCUGGCUCCCACCCUGCAGAACCUUUCAGAACCAUCUGUCAGUUCAAAUUACAGAGCAAAUAGAAGAACCUCAGUUCUUCUUUGUUCAAAUAUUAGUCCCACCACUUCUAGAUGUGUGACUUUGACCAUGAUACUUAGAACUCUAAUUUCUUCUGUAAGACAGAGAUACGAACUUCUACUUCACUGGGCUGUUGUUGGAUUAAGUGCAAAUGUAUAUAUGGCAACUGUCCCAGCGCCUGGCCCCUACCAAGUCGGUCCCCAUCCCCCUUCAGGCAAAGGUAAGGCUAAGAGCCCAAUCUGCAAUUUGUCUCUCACCCUGAGCUGGUGUCACCCCCGCUUUCCACAGGUGUCUACAGUGUGGUCAGAUGAGUCUUGUUGCCUCUCCCUUUGCUCACAUUUUUCAAUAGCCAUUUUCAUAACUCCCUAUGACAGAGAUAGAAAAGAAAGUUUCUGAAAUUCAGAGUGGUUUGGCUUACUUGUGUUAGAGUCUCUGGCUGAGAAGAAAAUUAAAACUAAAAGCCAAAAUUCAAUGUUUGUUGUGGGUGUCGGUGGAUUUAAUUCAUCUGUGCCGUCUUAGUUUGGGCUACUCUAACAAAUUACUACAGACUGGGUGGCUGGAACAGCAAACACUUCUCAGUUCUGGAGGCUAGAAGUCAAAGAUCAGGUGCCAGCAAAUCCAGUAUCUGGUGAGAACCUUCGUCCUGGGUUGCAGGUGACUUGUCUUCUUGCUGUUGUGCCCUCAUAUGGUGGGGAGGAGAGGGAGCAAGCUCUCAUGUCUCAUCUUAAUAAGGUCACUAAUGAGGGACGCCUGGGUGGCUCAGUUGGUUAAGUGUCC
Molecule: long non-coding RNA, 2098 nt
Organism: Herpailurus yagouaroundi (jaguarundi)
Lineage: Eukaryota; Metazoa; Chordata; Mammalia; Carnivora; Felidae
Exons: 6
Source: RefSeq, a predicted model, not a curated record